This 164-nucleotide ribosomal RNA is filed under the name Quercus frainetto. RNAcentral's name for it is "5.8S ribosomal RNA". It matches the Rfam family "5.8S ribosomal RNA". From Rfam's summary of the family: 5.8S ribosomal RNA (5.8S rRNA) is a component of the large subunit of the eukaryotic ribosome. The record is from RNAcentral. Lineage: Eukaryota; Viridiplantae; Streptophyta; Magnoliopsida; Fagales; Fagaceae.
AAAACGACUCUCGGCAACGGAUAUCUAGGCUCUCGCAUCGAUGAAGAACGUAGCGAAAUGCGAUACUUGGUGUGAAUUGCAGAAUCCCGCGAAUCAUCGAGUUUUUGAACGCAAGUUGCGCCCGAAGCCAUUCGGCCGAGGGCACGUCUGCCUGGGUGUCACGU